UAAAGAUGAAUGUAAAAGAAACUAUGAUUGCUAAAAAUGAGGUUUGCUCGUGGUUUCAAAAAACCGUUAUUUGCAGGUUUUUUUGGGCUGCCGUGACCAUUAUACCGUUAAAUAACAAGUUUUAAAAAUUGUAGUUGCCACAGCCAUUACAGUCGUUAUCGACCAUUACAUAACAUUGUUACCUGACCAACUCUGCAUUUCUAGUUUUAUUUCACAUCUACUUCACUUCCAUGGCUAGCUCCAUUCACAUG
This 251-nucleotide unclassified non-coding RNA is filed under the name Hevea brasiliensis (rubber tree). The record is from RNAcentral. Lineage: Eukaryota; Viridiplantae; Streptophyta; Magnoliopsida; Malpighiales; Euphorbiaceae.